CGGUUGCGAUCUGCGGGCAGAUGAAGUGGAUGUGGGUGUCCAGCCCGCCGGCGGUGAGGAUGCUGCCCUCGCCGGCGAUAGCCUCGGUGUUGACGCCGACAACCAUUCCGGGGGUCACGCCGUCCAUAACGUCGGGGUUACCAGCCUUGCCGAUGCCGACGAUCAUGCCGUCCUUGAUGCCCACGUCCGCUUUGUAUAUGCCGGUGUAGUCGACGAUGAGCGCGUUCGUGAUGACCGUGUCGAGGACGGCAGACGCGUCGACGCCGCACUGCUGACCCAUGCCCUCGCGCAA
Molecule: small RNA, 292 nt
Filed under: Micromonas commoda
Lineage: Eukaryota; Viridiplantae; Chlorophyta; Mamiellophyceae; Mamiellales; Mamiellaceae
Description: Micromonas sp. RCC299 5' ureB small RNA
Rfam family: 5' ureB small RNA
Source: Rfam by way of RNAcentral